This 254-nucleotide ribosomal RNA is filed under the name uncultured bacterium. Its description in RNAcentral is "partial 16S ribosomal RNA". It matches the Rfam family "Bacterial small subunit ribosomal RNA", at positions 524 to 776 of the family's 1533-position model. The record is from RNAcentral.
GACGGAGGGGGCAAGCGUUGUUCGGAAUUAUUGGGCGUAAAGGGCUCGUAGGCGGACCUGCCAGUCUGGCGUGAAAUCUCCACCGCUCACCGGGGAGAGUGCGUUGGAUACUACAGGUCUUGAGUGUAACAGAGGUUCGUGGAAUUCCGGGUGUAGCGGUAAAAUGCGUAGAUAUCCGGAGGAACACCAGUGGCGAAGGCGGCGAACUGGGUUACUACUGACGCUGAGGAGCGAAAGCCAGGGGAGCAAACGGG